Molecule: long non-coding RNA, 270 nt
Organism: Syngnathus acus (greater pipefish)
Lineage: Eukaryota; Metazoa; Chordata; Actinopteri; Syngnathiformes; Syngnathidae
Exons: 3
Source: RefSeq, a predicted model, not a curated record
AAACAGGAAACAUCUGUUUCCGGUGAUUGCUGCUUGAAGCAAGGUUGCUAAGACAACCAGUAGUUUCCAGCUGGCCUGGACAGGGAUCAGCUAAGGAACAUUCUCGAAGCUUCCAGAAACUUCCAGAAAGGCCACCUCACGUGCCGGUGAGGUAAUUCCGAUGAGAAUUCGGAUUUUGGAACAAAGGAGAGCCGGUCACUCGACUUGUUCAACCAAAUAGGAUUUUAGACCUUAAGUCUCCUCUCUUGUUCUGUGUGGGAAAACGGCAUU